Molecule: ribosomal RNA, 2899 nt
Filed under: Klebsiella pneumoniae
Lineage: Bacteria; Pseudomonadati; Pseudomonadota; Gammaproteobacteria; Enterobacterales; Enterobacteriaceae
Description: bacterial LSU rRNA
Rfam family: Bacterial large subunit ribosomal RNA
Source: RNAcentral
GGGUUGUGAGGUUAAGCGACUAAGCGUACACGGUGGAUGCCCUGGCAGUCAGAGGCGAUGAAGGACGUGCUAAUCUGCGAAAAGCGUCGGUAAGGUGAUAUGAACCGUUAUAACCGGCGAUGUCCGAAUGGGGAAACCCAGUGCAAUUCGUUGCACUAUCGUUAACUGAAUACAUAGGUUAACGAGGCGAACCGGGGGAACUGAAACAUCUAAGUACCCCGAGGAAAAGAAAUCAACCGAGAUUCCCCCAGUAGCGGCGAGCGAACGGGGAGCAGCCCAGAGUCUGAAUCAGCUUGUGUGUUAGUGGAACGGUCUGGAAAGUCCGACGGUACAGGGUGAUAGUCCCGUACACCAAAAUGCACAGGUUGUGAACUCGAAGAGUAGGGCGGGACACGUGGUAUCCUGUCUGAAUAUGGGGGGACCAUCCUCCAAGGCUAAAUACUCCUGACUGACCGAUAGUGAACCAGUACCGUGAGGGAAAGGCGAAAAGAACCCCGGCGAGGGGAGUGAAAAAGAACCUGAAACCGUGUACGUACAAGCAGUGGGAGCACCUUCGGGUGUGACUGCGUACCUUUUGUAUAAUGGGUCAGCGACUUAUAUUCUGUAGCAAGGUUAACCGUAUAGGGGAGCCGCAGGGAAACCGAGUCUUAACUGGGCGUUAAGUUGCAGGGUAUAGACCCGAAACCCGGUGAUCUAGCCAUGGGCAGGUUGAAGGUUGGGUAACACUAACUGGAGGACCGAACCGACUAAUGUUGAAAAAUUAGCGGAUGACUUGUGGCUGGGGGUGAAAGGCCAAUCAAACCGGGAGAUAGCUGGUUCUCCCCGAAAGCUAUUUAGGUAGCGCCUCGUGAACUCAUCUUCGGGGGUAGAGCACUGUUUCGGCUAGGGGGUCAUCCCGACUUACCAACCCGAUGCAAACUACGAAUACCGAAGAAUGUUAUCACGGGAGACACACGGCGGGUGCUAACGUCCGUCGUGAAGAGGGAAACAACCCAGACCGCCAGCUAAGGUCCCAAAGUCAUGGUUAAGUGGGAAACGAUGUGGGAAGGCACAGACAGCCAGGAUGUUGGCUUAGAAGCAGCCAUCAUUUAAAGAAAGCGUAAUAGCUCACUGGUCGAGUCGGCCUGCGCGGAAGAUGUAACGGGGCUAAACCAUGCACCGAAGCUGCGGCAGCGACACUAUGUGUUGUUGGGUAGGGGAGCGUUCUGUAAGCCUGCGAAGGUGUGCUGUGAGGCAUGCUGGAGGUAUCAGAAGUGCGAAUGCUGACAUAAGUAACGAUAAAGCGGGUGAAAAGCCCGCUCGCCGGAAGACCAAGGGUUCCUGUCCAACGUUAAUCGGGGCAGGGUGAGUCGACCCCUAAGGCGAGGCCGAAAGGCGUAGUCGAUGGGAAACAGGUUAAUAUUCCUGUACUUGGUGUUACUGCGAAGGGGGGACGGAGAAGGCUAUGUUAGCCGGGCGACGGUUGUCCCGGUUUAAGCAUGUAGGCUGGUUAUCCAGGCAAAUCCGGAUAAUCAAGGCUGAGGUGUGAUGACGAGGCACUACGGUGCUGAAGUAACAAAUGCCCUGCUUCCAGGAAAAGCCUCUAAGCAUCAGGUAACAUCAAAUCGUACCCCAAACCGACACAGGUGGUCAGGUAGAGAAUACCAAGGCGCUUGAGAGAACUCGGGUGAAGGAACUAGGCAAAAUGGUGCCGUAACUUCGGGAGAAGGCACGCUGGUGUGUAGGUGAAGUCCCUGCGGAUGGAGCUGAGACCAGUCGAAGAUACCAGCUGGCUGCAACUGUUUAUUAAAAACACAGCACUGUGCAAACACGAAAGUGGACGUAUACGGUGUGACGCCUGCCCGGUGCCGGAAGGUUAAUUGAUGGGGUUAUCCGUAAGGAGAAGCUCUUGAUCGAAGCCCCGGUAAACGGCGGCCGUAACUAUAACGGUCCUAAGGUAGCGAAAUUCCUUGUCGGGUAAGUUCCGACCUGCACGAAUGGCGUAAUGAUGGCCAGGCUGUCUCCACCCGAGACUCAGUGAAAUUGAACUCGCUGUGAAGAUGCAGUGUACCCGCGGCAAGACGGAAAGACCCCGUGAACCUUUACUAUAGCUUGACACUGAACAUUGAGCCUUGAUGUGUAGGAUAGGUGGGAGGCUUUGAAGCGUGGACGCCAGUCUGCGUGGAGCCAACCUUGAAAUACCACCCUUUAAUGUUUGAUGUUCUAACGUUGGCCCCUGACCGGGGUUGCGGACAGUGUCUGGUGGGUAGUUUGACUGGGGCGGUCUCCUCCCAAAGCGUAACGGAGGAGCACGAAGGUUAGCUAAUCCUGGUCGGACAUCAGGAGGUUAGUGCAAUGGCAUAAGCUAGCUUGACUGCGAGCGUGACGGCGCGAGCAGGUGCGAAAGCAGGUCAUAGUGAUCCGGUGGUUCUGAAUGGAAGGGCCAUCGCUCAACGGAUAAAAGGUACUCCGGGGAUAACAGGCUGAUACCGCCCAAGAGUUCAUAUCGACGGCGGUGUUUGGCACCUCGAUGUCGGCUCAUCACAUCCUGGGGCUGAAGUAGGUCCCAAGGGUAUGGCUGUUCGCCAUUUAAAGUGGUACGCGAGCUGGGUUUAGAACGUCGUGAGACAGUUCGGUCCCUAUCUGCCGUGGGCGCUGGAGAAUUGAGGGGGGCUGCUCCUAGUACGAGAGGACCGGAGUGGACGCAUCACUGGUGUUCGGGUUGUCAUGCCAAUGGCACUGCCCGGUAGCUAAAUGCGGAAGAGAUAAGUGCUGAAAGCAUCUAAGCACGAAACUUGCCCCGAGAUGAGUUCUCCCUGAGACUAUAAGUCUCCUGAAGGAACGUUAAAGACGAUGACGUUGAUAGGCCGGGUGUGUAAGCGCAGCGAUGCGUUGAGCUAACCGGUACUAAUGAACCGUG